GUAAGGAAUAUUGGACAAUGGGCGGAAGCCUGAUCCAGCCAUGCCGCGUGAAGGAAGAAUGCGCUCAGCGUUGUAAACUUCUUUUGAAUGGGAACAAUAACCUCCACGCGUUGGGGGCUUGAGGGUACCAUUAGAAUAAGCACCGGCUAACUCCGUGCCAGCAGCCGCGGUAAUACGGAGGGUGCAAGCGUUAUCCGGAAUCACUGGGUUUAAAGGGUGCGUAGGCGGUUUGAUAAGUCAGUUGUGAAAUUCACCGGCUUAACCGGUAGAACUGCGAUUGAUACUGUCGGACUUGAAUCAGGUUGAGGUAGGCGGAAUGUGGCAUGUAGCGGUGAAAUGCAUAGAUAUGCCAUAGAACACCGAUUGCGAAGGCAGCUUGCUGGACCUAGAUUGACGCUGAGGCACGAAAGCGUGGGGAGCAAACAGGAUUAGAAACCCGGGUAGUCC
RNAcentral lists this ribosomal RNA (447 nucleotides) under uncultured bacterium. RNAcentral's name for it is "bacterial SSU rRNA". It matches the Rfam family "Bacterial small subunit ribosomal RNA", at positions 354 to 796 of the family's 1533-position model. The record is from RNAcentral.